UCAGCCAGGCACGUAACCUCCCAGAGACUGUCUGGAGUCUGUCUGAAACUGAUAAAAUUGGAGAUGGAGUUAUAAUUCUCUGGCCACAUGCAUACGAAAUCGUGAAUUCGAAAUGGGAAUCUACAAUCACUUUAAAUCGCCAGAGCCACGACUGAAUAACCACGCAUAACAAAGUGAUGUUUAGGGACACGCUUUGAAAGUUUUUUUUCCAAUGUUUAUCACCAGACAGUUCAUUAUUGCACAGGUAUUUACUCUAGCUGGUCAGGUGUCUAUUUAACAACAUCUAAGAAUGAGCCAAAGUGGAGCAGUUCAAAAGGAGGCCGAGAAGAUGCAGCAUACCAUGACAGCUAGAAAUACUCCUUGUCUCUGGCAAUGUGUUCCCAAUGUGUGUUCACGUGAGAAGAGAUAGCGGCGGGUCUCCACAAGGAAGAUGUCACGCCGAAGACGGGUCCGCACGAUGAUGUUGCGAGUGUCAGCGCGGCGUCGGGGGUUCUCUCUAUGUGCCUUUCUCGACCAUGACGCGUUACCAUAGAGGUAGGGUUGUCUCAGAUGUCAUGAGGAUACCAUGGAAUCAACCUCCAUUACAAAAGGUGAUGCGGAGAAGGAUUUGUGAAUGGACGCUAUGGCCUGUUCCAGAUCACAACACGACUGUGAGACUGUUGCAGAUGUGCCCUAUCCGCACCCCUCCCCCCCUUCCCCCAACUCCGGACACCGUCUCUCCCUAUGAAUGGGAUUGCUGAGAUAUCGGCUAUGUCACCAGGGGUCGGCCCAAAUCCGUCGGCUACAGCUUCCUGUGCCUUUCAAAACGUGAAAGCAUGUCUCGCCAUUUGAAGAUAAUGUGUACUUUUUUUGUGGUUGUGUCCCUGUGAAAAUGGCCUGUUAUGAUAGGCCUAUACUGUAUAUCAUUCGAGCGCAGCUUGAAAGUCAAUGGUCCAGAUAUCAUGACCCCAAACACCACACGUUUGUGGAUCUAUAGCUCAAGCUCGGGCCUAACUAGCGCCAAGAGAAAUAUUGUAUUGCUAUCCCAGUGAGGGAAUCACGGAAGCCAGUGAAGGGCUAUAUGGCUACACUACCCCCACAGAACGACGGAGCGUGUCCCAACGCUUCACUGCACCAGCACUGCCCUGCUCAACUCUCAAUAUCCGAUAGGCUUUGGAGCUGGGAAAGGGGAUUCAAACUCCGGUUGUUUCCCACUUAGCAAGGUUGAAAGUUCGACAGCAAUAGUCUACGUGACAGAUAAUUAGGCCUAAUCUUUACUCUGAUUCUGAUGGCGGGAAAUUAUAUAAUUAAGAGUAGGUAGAUUAGCGCAUAGGUGGUUUAUUGCUAAUGGACACGCAAAUGUUUUUAUUUAUUUGAACAAUUCAGUUUUUCAAAUGUCUUAAUCAUAUGAUCAAUCAUGUGGAUGCAUCAGAUUAGAGUAUGGGAAUGUUUAUAAAGGAAUGUUUGGAUGUCUUCCUGUGAAGGCAGCAAUGCAUGUUUACCACAGUACAAACUACCACCGAAAUAAAUGCCUGCUUGGAUCUAAAUGAAUGAAGGCACAGCGUGCUUUCUGAGAUGUGC
Long non-coding RNA from Hypomesus transpacificus, 1560 nucleotides. RefSeq lists it as uncharacterized. The transcript has 5 exons. NCBI's taxonomy places the organism in Eukaryota, Metazoa, Chordata, Actinopteri, Osmeriformes, Osmeridae. The record is from RefSeq and is a predicted model, not a curated record.